RNAcentral lists this ribosomal RNA (2440 nucleotides) under Staphylococcus aureus. RNAcentral's name for it is "partial 23S ribosomal RNA". It matches the Rfam family "Bacterial large subunit ribosomal RNA", at positions 388 to 2834 of the family's 2925-position model. The record is from RNAcentral. Lineage: Bacteria; Bacillati; Bacillota; Bacilli; Caryophanales; Staphylococcaceae.
UUGUCUCUCUUGAGUGGAUCCUGAGUACGACGGAGCACGUGAAAUUCCGUCGGAAUCUGGGAGGACCAUCUCCUAAGGCUAAAUACUCUCUAGUGACCGAUAGUGAACCAGUACCGUGAGGGAAAGGUGAAAAGCACCCCGGAAGGGGAGUGAAAUAGAACCUGAAACCGUGUGCUUACAAGUAGUCAGAGCCCGUUAAUGGGUGAUGGCGUGCCUUUUGUAGAAUGAACCGGCGAGUUACGAUUUGAUGCAAGGUUAAGCAGUAAAUGUGGAGCCGUAGCGAAAGCGAGUCUGAAUAGGGCGUUUAGUAUUUGGUCGUAGACCCGAAACCAGGUGAUCUACCCUUGGUCAGGUUGAAGUUCAGGUAACACUGAAUGGAGGACCGAACCGACUUACGUUGAAAAGUGAGCGGAUGAACUGAGGGUAGCGGAGAAAUUCCAAUCGAACCUGGAGAUAGCUGGUUCUCUCCGAAAUAGCUUUAGGGCUAGCCUCAAGUGAUGAUUAUUGGAGGUAGAGCACUGUUUGGACGAGGGGCCCCUCUCGGGUUACCGAAUUCAGACAAACUCCGAAUGCCAAUUAAUUUAACUUGGGAGUCAGAACAUGGGUGAUAAGGUCCGUGUUCGAAAGGGAAACAGCCCAGACCACCAGCUAAGGUCCCAAAAUAUAUGUUAAGUGGAAAAGGAUGUGGCGUUGCCCAGACAACUAGGAUGUUGGCUUAGAAGCAGCCAUCAUUUAAAGAGUGCGUAAUAGCUCACUAGUCGAGUGACACUGCGCCGAAAAUGUACCGGGGCUAAACAUGUUACCGAAGCUGUGGAUUGUCCUUUGGACAAUGGUAGGAGAGCGUUCUAAGGGCGUUGAAGCAUGAUCGUAAGGACAUGUGGAGCGCUUAGAAGUGAGAAUGCCGGUGUGAGUAGCGAAAGACGGGUGAGAAUCCCGUCCACCGAUUGACUAAGGUUUCCAGAGGAAGGCUCGUCCGCUCUGGGUUAGUCGGGUCCUAAGCUGAGGCCGACAGGCGUAGGCGAUGGAUAACAGGUUGAUAUUCCUGUACCACCUAUAAUCGUUUUAAUCGAUGGGGGGACGCAGUAGGAUAGGCGAAGCGUGCGAUUGGAUUGCACGUCUAAGCAGUAAGGCUGAGUAUUAGGCAAAUCCGGUACUCGUUAAGGCUGAGCUGUGAUGGGGAGAAGACAUUGUGUCUUCGAGUCGUUGAUUUCACACUGCCGAGAAAAGCCUCUAGAUAGAAAAUAGGUGCCCGUACCGCAAACCGACACAGGUAGUCAAGAUGAGAAUUCUAAGGUGAGCGAGCGAACUCUCGUUAAGGAACUCGGCAAAAUGACCCCGUAACUUCGGGAGAAGGGGUGCUCUUUAGGGUUAACGCCCAGAAGAGCCGCAGUGAAUAGGCCCAAGCGACUGUUUAUCAAAAACACAGGUCUCUGCUAAACCGUAAGGUGAUGUAUAGGGGCUGACGCCUGCCCGGUGCUGGAAGGUUAAGAGGAGUGGUUAGCUUCUGCGAAGCUACGAAUCGAAGCCCCAGUAAACGGCGGCCGUAACUAUAACGGUCCUAAGGUAGCGAAAUUCCUUGUCGGGUAAGUUCCGACCCGCACGAAAGGCGUAACGAUUUGGGCACUGUCUCAACGAGAGACUCGGUGAAAUCAUAGUACCUGUGAAGAUGCAGGUUACCCGCGACAGGACGGAAAGACCCCGUGGAGCUUUACUGUAGCCUGAUAUUGAAAUUCGGCACAGCUUGUACAGGAUAGGUAGGAGCCUUUGAAACGUGAGCGCUAGCUUACGUGGAGGCGCUGGUGGGAUACUACCCUAGCUGUGUUGGCUUUCUAACCCGCACCACUUAUCGUGGUGGGAGACAGUGUCAGGCGGGCAGUUUGACUGGGGCGGUCGCCUCCUAAAAGGUAACGGAGGCGCUCAAAGGUUCCCUCAGAAUGGUUGGAAAUCAUUCAUAGAGUGUAAAGGCAUAAGGGAGCUUGACUGCGAGACCUACAAGUCGAGCAGGGUCGAAAGACGGACUUAGUGAUCCGGUGGUUCCGCAUGGAAGGGCCAUCGCUCAACGGAUAAAAGCUACCCCGGGGAUAACAGGCUUAUCUCCCCCAAGAGUUCACAUCGACGGGGAGGUUUGGCACCUCGAUGUCGGCUCAUCGCAUCCUGGGGCUGUAGUCGGUCCCAAGGGUUGGGCUGUUCGCCCAUUAAAGCGGUACGCGAGCUGGGUUCAGAACGUCGUGAGACAGUUCGGUCCCUAUCCGUCGUGGGCGUAGGAAAUUUGAGAGGAGCUGUCCUUAGUACGAGAGGACCGGGAUGGACAUACCUCUGGUGUACCAGUUGUCGUGCCAACGGCAUAGCUGGGUAGCUAUGUGUGGACGGGAUAAGUGCUGAAAGCAUCUAAGCAUGAAGCCCCCCUCAAGAUGAGAUUUCCCAACUUCGGUUAUAAGAU